This 253-nucleotide ribosomal RNA is filed under the name uncultured bacterium. RNAcentral's name for it is "partial 16S ribosomal RNA". It matches the Rfam family "Bacterial small subunit ribosomal RNA", at positions 524 to 776 of the family's 1533-position model. The record is from RNAcentral.
CACGUAGGGCGCAAGCGUUGUCCGGAAUUAUUGGGCGUAAAGAGCUCGUAGGUGGUUUGUUACGUCUGCUGUGAAAACCUAGGGCUUAACCCUGGGCUUGCAGUGGAUACGGGCAGACUAGAGGUAGGUAGGGGAGAAUGGAAUUCCUGGUGUAGCGGUGAAAUGCGCAGAUAUCAGGAGGAACACCGGUGGCGAAGGCGGUUCUCUGGGCCUUACCUGACACUGAGGAGCGAAAGCCAGGGGAGCAAACGGG